RNAcentral lists this long non-coding RNA (578 nucleotides) under Salvia miltiorrhiza (redroot sage). RNAcentral describes it as "long non-coding RNA (SMIL_LNC001390)". Lineage: Eukaryota; Viridiplantae; Streptophyta; Magnoliopsida; Lamiales; Lamiaceae. The record is from RNAcentral.
CCAAAUUAAGGCUUAAAUCUCAAGUGGACAAACAAUUCAUUAUCUCUAGAUUCUUUCUCAUUAAUAAUUGCUAUUAUUAUUAUCUUUUGCUAUUUUAAUUAAAAGUAAAAUGGCAAACAUAAUAAUUGCUAUUAUUAUUAUCUUUUGCUAUUUUAAUCAAAAGUAAAAUGGCAAACAUAAUAAUUGCUAUUAUUCUUAUCUUUUGCUAUUUUAAUCAAAAGUAAAAUGGCAAACAUAAUAAUUGCUAUUAUUCUUAUCUUUUGCUAUUUUUAAUCAAAAGUAAAAGAUAAGAAUAAUAUGUGAUAUCAUUCUUAAGAAUGAACAAUCACGUAGCAAUUAGACAUAAUUUUGAGAAAGAGAGAAAUUGAGAAAGAAAGAGAUUGAGAGUGUUUGUUCAUUGGAGUUGAGAUAGGAUUCGAAGAUCGUUGCCAUCCAACGUCGAAUCUUGCCGUGGGAACAAUUCGGAAGAUCAACUCUGGAGUCGAUCACUUCUCGUUUCGCAGGUAUACUUCUUUUACUACCUUGUAGGAUUAUGGUUUUUGUAUGUACUUGUUAGAUAUCCGAAAUGGAUCGUGGGC